GUGAAUCAUCGAAUUUUUGAACGCAAAUUGCACUCUCUGGUAUUCCGGAGAGUAUGCCUGUUUGAGGGUCAGUUUAAAUAAAAAUCGGUGUGGUUGAUGCUUUUCGUGGUGAUGCACUGGGUUUGUGUCGUCUUGCCUUAGGUUAUGUGACCUAAAUUUUUGAAUGAUUUUUUUCGAACGUAUUUUAAUGUUUUUACGUUCGUUUGCGAUUUCGAAUAAUAGGUGUG
RNAcentral lists this unclassified non-coding RNA (227 nucleotides) under Glomeraceae sp. Its description in RNAcentral is "partial contains 5.8S ribosomal RNA and internal transcribed spacer 2". The stretch from base 1 to 71 matches the Rfam family "5.8S ribosomal RNA", at positions 84 to 154 of the family's 154-position model. The record is from RNAcentral. Lineage: Eukaryota; Fungi; Glomeromycota; Glomeromycetes; Glomerales; Glomeraceae.